RNAcentral lists this ribosomal RNA (301 nucleotides) under uncultured bacterium. RNAcentral describes it as "partial 16S ribosomal RNA". It matches the Rfam family "Bacterial small subunit ribosomal RNA", at positions 509 to 808 of the family's 1533-position model. The record is from RNAcentral.
CAGUCGCCACGGUAAGACAGAGGAUGCAAGCGUUAUCUGGAAUGAUUGGGCGUAAAGCGACUGUAGGUGGCUUUUCAAGUCUGCAGUCAAACCCCGAGGCUCAACCCUGGACAGGCGGCGGAAACUACCAAGAUGGAGUACGGUAGGGGCAGAGGGAAUUUCCGGUGGAGCGGUGAAAUGCGUUGAGAUCGGAAAGAACACCAACGGUGAAAGCACUCUGCUGGGCCGACGCUGACACUGAGAGACGAAAGUUAGGGGAGAAAAUGGGAUUAGAUACCCCCGUAGUCCCUGUCUCUUAUAC